Long non-coding RNA from Myotis brandtii (Brandt's bat), 1907 nucleotides. RefSeq lists it as uncharacterized. The transcript is spliced from 2 exons. The record is from RefSeq and is a predicted model, not a curated record. NCBI's taxonomy places the organism in Eukaryota, Metazoa, Chordata, Mammalia, Chiroptera, Vespertilionidae.
UCGAGUGAGGAUCAACAAUAAAAAUAGUUAAAUAUUUAUAUGAGUUGGGGAGAUAUUUUCAGGCAGAAGUCCUUUGCCUGUUGUUGGUAUGUCCCCUCUCACAUGUAACAACCCCCUUCGUACCUGUCCCAGGUAGGAAAACACAUAGUGUCAGUAAACUUACAAUUCCCUAUCCGUGAGUUUUUUCACUAUUACAUCUUCAUAAGUUUCAGGGAGUCCAAGGACAGGCAGACCUCAGAGAUACCGUGGUUUAGGUUCCAGACCACCACAGUAAAGCAAGUCGUCGUCAUCUUUUUGCUGGAGGAGGGUCUUUCCUUCAAUUUGUAAAAACACAAAAAAACCACACACACACACAAAAAAAACACAGAAACAUCUUUUAGCUGAAGCUUCACUUUAUUGAAGCUAGACUGAGCUCCUUAAGACCAGAAGCACUGUGUCUGCCACAUAUUAAGUGCUCAGCAUAUGUUUUACUGAAAUGUUGCAUGGAUGGAUGGAUGGGUGGGUGGAUAAAUAUUUUACUUUCAACAAUUGAUUUGAACUAUUGCCUUUCUUACCUCCCCCACAGUCAGAUGGCGUAGCUCCAUUUCUAAGCUAACCAGAAAGGGCAGGCUGCAGGAAAACUGGUCCUCAUUCUUUCUUGUGGUUGCUUUCUUUACGCAUCUUUCUCUUCAGUCUUUGAGGUUGGAAGAUAAAGGAGAGACCAUUUUGCUCACUACCUUUCACCUGUUCUUUCCAAGUUGGCAUUUAUGAAGAGUAUUUCUAAAACUUAAUGUCAUUUAUAUGUUUUUAAAGAGGUAAUCUGCUCAUGAAAUUCAAAUGGUAGAAAGGAACACAAAUGAACUCGUACCCAGUUCCCAUCCGCAGUGUAACCACUGACACCAUCUUCUUGGGUAGCCUUCCAGAGAUAAUCUUACUUAUAAAAGCAAACCCAUAUUUCUUUAAGCUAAUAAAAAUAUGCCCUUUACCAGCUUUUAUCCCCCUUGGCUGCACAUUGUAAUUAUUCGGGGGAGCUUUCCAGAAAAUGCAAAUCAGAAUCUUUGGGGGAGGAACUCAGCCAUCAGCAGUUUUUUAAAUUCACCAGGUGUUUCUGGUGUACAUCCAGAGUCAAGAACCACUACGCGCAUAGUGUUUUGCAGCCUGGUUUUUUUUCUUACAUGUCUUCAAGAUCCUUCCAUACCAUUAUAUGAGAAUGAAUUAAAACAACAACAACAACAAAACAGCUGCAUAGUAUUCCACUAGCUAGAUGGAAUAUGAAGGGCAUCUAUGAACAUCAGGCAAAACAAGAUGGCGGAAAAAGGACCUUCUGCCCUUGUCUCCGAAAAGUCCACAGAACUACAAGGAAAAGAACAGAAACACAAACUUCAGAAACCACGCCGAGUCAGCAACCUCCCACCCACCACACGAAGCUGAACACGGGCGGGAGCAGUGACGUGGCACAGUGGGUCAGACACCACCAUUCAGAGCCUGGGGAGUGUCCAGAGAAGAGGACGCAGGGAAGGGCAGGGACAGGCUGAAGGGGGAGGAUUUCACAGCUGGGCUCUUGGGCCCCUGGGAACCCUCCACACACCCCAAUAGGUUGAGGAGUCUUGUUGAGAGGAAAGUAGUUGGGGGUCAAGAAAACAGCCACAGGACACCCUCUGGUGGCCGUCCUGAGUGGAGCCCAGCUGCCGGUGACCUUGCUCUGCACCUGGAGCUCAAGUCGCUUGGGGAACGUCAGUGUGAGCCCACAUCUGAGAGCCUCCAAUGUAAAGGGGCGUGGAGGAGACGGGGAGGUAAGAAGAAAGCUUUGCUCCACAUUUACUUCUGCAGGGAGAGGAGGGAAGACCCUACAUCUGUGAAGCAAGAACGGGAUGCUAUAACCAACAGAGAGAUUGAGAAAUUAAAAAUGCAAUUUGCCAAAAUAAAAA